Molecule: long non-coding RNA, 1293 nt
Organism: Apis cerana (Asiatic honeybee)
Lineage: Eukaryota; Metazoa; Arthropoda; Insecta; Hymenoptera; Apidae
Source: RefSeq, a predicted model, not a curated record
UAUUAAUGUACUUAAAAAUCGAACUAUAUAUCGAUUAAUCGAUCUGUAUUUUUCAAGUUGGUAAUAAUUGUACAUAGUGUCCGUAUUUUUUUUCAAUCAAUUGGAAAUAUAUUCUUAUUAAUCGGAGAAAAAAUAAAUUGAGAUCAUGCUGUCAGUUUAAAAAUAUGAAGAAAAUAUGCAAGAAAAUUCGUUUGCAGAGAUCGAGUUUUGGAAUCGCGCGAAGCAGUUGCUGUAACGAUGAUGGUCGAGCAGAAAUGGGCAUCCUUAAGGGCAUCGUCUGCGAGGAGGACAAAGAGGCGAGAGAAAAUAACGCAAUUACGUUCUUUUCCGAUUCGAGAGCGCGUCGUUACGAUGCGCUAAUCACAAGUCGACGUGUUUUAGAACGCCAUCUACGCUUCGACUCACGAGAGUCUCGUUCACUCUCUUCCCUUUGUCCGCGUGCAUAUUCGAUCGAGCUCGUGUUUACGCUGUGCCGUGACACUGCACCGAAUCUCGUUGCCGCGGCAAAUCGAUAUUAAAUCAAAAUUGGUACAAUCGAAUCUCGGUCACGAUCAAGCGAUUUCGAGACGGUCAUUUCGGAUUAAGCGUUUUCGAUCGAAAUAAUCAAGUAACUCGUCUAGGAGAGGAGACAUCUCUCCUUAUUUAACCUCAAAUGUUCGAGCAAGUAAAUUUAAAGGCUCGUUCAACGAAUGUGUAAUUAUCGUGCAACGAUUGUAAAAAAUCUACAGAUUCGUAUUCGUUCUCUUGAAAUUAGAAGUUGAUUAAUUUCACUUCUCGAUAAUAUUUCGAGUGAUUAUAGUCGUAGAGGGUAAUAUAGUCAUCGCGUGUUUAAGUAUAGAAUAAUAAACACGCGGUUUAUGCGAGGGGGAAUCACGAACGUUACAAUGGAUGCUGUGACGCUUGCUUCAUUGUGAUGCAUAUGAGCAGUCGCACAAGUCAUUACGUACAUUAGAUUUUACGUUCGCGAAAUAACGAGAAUAAAGAGCGAGCGAUGCGGAUAUGCUUUUUUUUUACGAUAACUAUAACGUUUCGUUCUUAUAAAUAGCAAGCCAUAAGUGUUAUAUAUGUACAUUGAAACAGGUGGUAAUUAAUUUUUUGAUUAUUCUAUGUAUAUAUUUAAAAUAAUUGUUGAACGAAUAAUUUUUUUCAGGAACCUUUUUUCCUUUUUCUUAAAUCUCUCGUUAGAUAUUUUUCUGUUCUCUGUUUCAAUUUAACGCUUAAAGAAAUAUACGUGGAAAAUCUGUGUAUGCAUAUCUUUACUUGUAUCGAAUAAAGAGAAGGAAUAUUUGGUAA